UUGAUCUCAAAUCAGGUAGGACUACCCGCUGAACUUAAGCAUAUCAAUAAGCGGAGGAAAAGAAACUAACAAGGAUUCCCCUAGUAACUGCGAGUGAAGCGGGAAGAGCUCAAAUUUAAAAUCUGGCGUGCCUCUGGUCGUCCGAGUUGUAGUCUGGAGAAGUGUUUUCCGUGUUGGACCGUGUACAAGUCUCUUGGAACAGGGCGUCAUAGAGGGUGAGAAUCCCGUCUUUGACACGGACUACCAAUGCUUUGUGAUGCGCUCUCAAAGAGUCGAGUUGUUUGGGAAUGCAGCUCAAAAUGGGUGGUAAAUUCCAUCUAAAGCUAAAUAUAGGCGAGAGACCGAUAGCGAACAAGUACCGUGAGGGAAAGAUGAAAAGCACUUUGGAAAGAGAGUUAAACAGUACGUGAAAUUGCUGAAAGGGAA
This 426-nucleotide ribosomal RNA is filed under the name uncultured fungus. Its description in RNAcentral is "eukaryotic LSU rRNA". It matches the Rfam family "Eukaryotic large subunit ribosomal RNA", at positions 1 to 418 of the family's 3401-position model. Lineage: Eukaryota; Fungi. The record is from RNAcentral.